This 431-nucleotide ribosomal RNA is filed under the name uncultured bacterium. RNAcentral's name for it is "partial 16S ribosomal RNA". It matches the Rfam family "Bacterial small subunit ribosomal RNA", at positions 29 to 505 of the family's 1533-position model. The record is from RNAcentral.
AACGAACGCUGGCGGCAUGCCUAACACAUGCAAGUCGAACGAGACCUUCGGGUCUAGUGGCGCACGGGUGCGUAACGCGUGGGAACCUGCCCUUAGGUUCGGAAUAACUCCCCGAAAGGGGUGCUAAUACCGGAUAAUGUCUUCGGACCAAAGAUUUAUCGCCUUUGGAUGGGCCCGCGUUGGAUUAGCUAGUUGGUAGGGUAAAAGCCUACCAAGGCGACGAUCCAUAGCUGGUCUGAGAGGAUGAUCAGCCACACUGGGACUGAGACACGGCCCAGACUCCUACGGGAGGCAGCAGUGGGGAAAUUUGGACAAUGGGCGAAAGCCUGAUCCAGCAAUGCCGCGUGAGUGAUGAAGGCCUUAGGGUUGUAAAGCUCUUUUACCCGGGAUGAUAAUGACAGUACCGGGAGAAUAAGCUCCGGCUAACUCCG